Molecule: ribosomal RNA, 425 nt
Filed under: uncultured bacterium
Lineage: Bacteria
Description: bacterial SSU rRNA
Rfam family: Bacterial small subunit ribosomal RNA
Source: RNAcentral
GUGAGGAAUAUUGGUCAAUGGGCGCAAGCCUGAACCAGCCAUCCCGCGUGAAGGAUGAAGGCCCUAUGGGUCGUAAACUUCUUUUAUACACCAAGAAAAAGCAGGACGAGUCCUGCCCCGACGGUAGUGUAUGAAUAAGCAUCGGCUAACUCCGUGCCAGCAGCCGCGGUAAUACGGAGGAUGCGAGCGUUAUCCGGAUUCAUUGGGUUUAAAGGGUGCGUAGGCGGCUUUUUAAGUCAGUGGUGAAAUCUUGCCGCUUAACGGUAAAAUUGCCAUUGAUACUGAUAAGCUUGAGUACAAUUGAGGUAAGCGGAAUGUGUAGUGUAGCGGUGAAAUGCUUAGAUAUUACACAGAACACCGAUUGCGAAGGCAGCUUACUAAACUGUCACUGACGCUGAUGCACGAAAGCGUGGGGAGCGAACAGG